AGGGCGGAGGGAAGCUCAUCAGUGGGGCCACGAGCUGAGUGCGUCCUGUCACUCCACUCCCAUGUCCCUUGGGAAGGUCUGAGACUAGGGCCAGAGGCGGCCCUAACAGGGCUCUCCCUGAGCUUCGGGGAGGUGAGUUCCCAGAGAACGGGGCUCCGCGCGAGGUCAGACUGGGCAGGAGAUGCCGUGGACCCCGCCCUUCGGGGAGGGGCCCGGCGGAUGCCUCCUUUGCCGGAGCUUGGAACAGACUCACGGCCAGCGA
This 262-nucleotide long non-coding RNA is filed under the name Homo sapiens (human). RNAcentral's name for it is "HSALNT0375533". It matches the Rfam family "Nuclear RNase P", at positions 1 to 235 of the family's 301-position model. From Rfam's summary of the family: Ribonuclease P (RNase P) is a ubiquitous endoribonuclease, found in archaea, bacteria and eukarya as well as chloroplasts and mitochondria. Its best characterised activity is the generation of mature 5'-ends of tRNAs by cleaving the 5'-leader elements of precursor-tRNAs. Cellular RNase Ps are ribonucleoproteins. Lineage: Eukaryota; Metazoa; Chordata; Mammalia; Primates; Hominidae. The record is from RNAcentral.